Molecule: ribosomal RNA, 447 nt
Filed under: uncultured bacterium
Lineage: Bacteria
Description: partial 16S ribosomal RNA
Rfam family: Bacterial small subunit ribosomal RNA
Source: RNAcentral
CCAGACUCCUACGGGAGGCAGCAGUGGGGGAUAUUGCACAAUGGGGGAAACCCUGAUGCAGCGACGCCGCGUGGGUGAAGAAGUAUUUCGGUAUGUAAAGCCCUAUCAGCAGGGAAGAAAGAAGACGGUACCUGACUAAGAAGCCCCGGCUAACUACGUGCCAGCAGCCGCGGUAAUACGUAGGGGGCGAGCGUUAUCCGGAUUCACUGGGUGUAAAGGGAGCGUAGACGGCCGUGCAAGCCAGGAGUGAAAGCCCGGGGCCCAACCCCGGGACUGCUCUUGGAACUGCAUGGCUGGAGUACAGGAGGGGCAGGCGGAAUUCCUAGUGUAGCGGUGAAAUGCGUAGAGAUCGGGAGGAACACCAGUGGCGAAGGCGGCCUGCUGGGCUCUAACUGACGCUGAGGCACGAAAGCGUGGGUAGCAAACAGGAUUAGAUACCCUCGUACU